This 806-nucleotide long non-coding RNA is filed under the name Gallus gallus (chicken). The record is from RNAcentral. Lineage: Eukaryota; Metazoa; Chordata; Aves; Galliformes; Phasianidae.
UGGAUAGAUUGCCCAGUCUUCCCAUGCUCGGAAGCAUGUCAUUACCCGUUGCUUGAAAUUUUCAGACUGUAAAUGGCCUUGUAUUGUACGGUAAGUAGCAUUGAGAUCAGAGAAUAUCUGACAUAAUUUUGUUUCAAAAAAUUUUCUGUAGUAGGAAGCAUUGGCAACUUUAGCUGAAGAGUUGUACAACACAUCUGACACCAGAUAUAAUCUUGCAAUCUUCUUGGGAAGAGGAGUCUUCAGAAUGGACAGCGACUCUGUAAUGCAAUCUACAAUUUCUUCAGCAGCUUCUGCAUUAUUGAGACAGAAAACCAUAGCAUCGCCAAUAUCAUUCUUUCGAGGCGUUAAUCCACGCAAAAUUUCCUCUAGCUUGUCUCUCUGUUCCUCCUUAAGUGCACCCUUCUUGUUCGGUUCCUCCACGAAUGCCUCUGUUUCUUGCUCUUCUGACAUCCCAUGUAAAUAUGGAUUUAGUGGUGGUGGCCUCCAAAACGAUCCAUUUUUGAACAUACGGAAAUCUUCUGUCCUCCACUUGGUUGGAGCAUCUCCCUGAAGAAUUGAAUAAAGCUUCCAUCUAUAAUACACAUGGGCUGGAGUCUGGUUUUCAAACAGAAACCUGAACAUUGGGUUGUUGAUUUCUCGGUUCAUGAUCAUGGCUUCAAACAUGGGCCCUUCCCGUACCACAAACUCUAUCAUUCGAUGUAUCAGUGCGAGCAAAUUCCUUUCUGUUGGGAUAACCACUUUGACUAUGGCUUGCGACAGAGUCUUCUCAAAAUCUUCCUUGUUUUUUGGUGGGGGUAACAUUGGAG